UAUAUAUUAGUGAAUUUACACAUAAAAUUUUGGAAUUUUAAAUUAAUAAUAAGAAUUAUUAUAUAUAU
Molecule: transfer RNA, 68 nt
Filed under: Euaspis polynesia
Lineage: Eukaryota; Metazoa; Arthropoda; Insecta; Hymenoptera; Megachilidae
Description: tRNA-Gln
Source: RNAcentral